AGUCGUAACAAGGUUUCCGUAGGUGAACCUGCGGAAGGAUCAUUAAUGGAUUUACAAGGGGGGGUUGAUGCUGGCAGUUUAACUGCAUGUGCUCACUCUUCUGAUUUUUAUUUACACCUGUGCACUUGAUUUUUUCAAAGGGGAGGGUAGAGCCUGCCUUUGGAACUUAUAAAACCCACUUGUAUUGAAACAAUGAAUGUUUAUCUGCCACAAGGCGAAUUUUAAUACAA
RNAcentral lists this unclassified non-coding RNA (230 nucleotides) under plant metagenome. RNAcentral's name for it is "partial contains small subunit ribosomal RNA and internal transcribed spacer 1". The stretch from base 1 to 45 matches the Rfam family "Eukaryotic small subunit ribosomal RNA", at positions 1787 to 1831 of the family's 1831-position model. The record is from RNAcentral.